Molecule: transfer RNA, 67 nt
Filed under: Marmota monax (woodchuck)
Lineage: Eukaryota; Metazoa; Chordata; Mammalia; Rodentia; Sciuridae
Description: tRNA.Ala
Source: RNAcentral
GGUUGUGGUUCAGUGGUAGAGUGCUUGCCUAGCACAUGUGAGGCACUGGGUUCAAACCUCAGCACCA